GAUGAACGCUGGCGGCGUGCUUAACACAUGCAAGUCGAACGGAAAGGCCCAAGCUUGCUUGGGUGCUCGAGUGGCGAACGGGUGAGUAACACGUGGGUGAUCUGCCCUGCACUUUGGGAUAAGCCUGGGAAACUGGGUCUAAUACCGGAUAGGACCAUCGUUUAGUGUCGGUGGUGGAAAGUUUUUCGGUGUGGGAUGAGCUCGCGGCCUAUCAGCUUGUUGGUGGGGUAAUGGCCUACCAAGGCGUCGACAGGUAGCCGGCCUGAGAGGGUGUACGGCCACAUUGGGACUGAGAUACGGCCCAGACUCCUACGGGAGGCAGCAGUGGGGAAUAUUGCACAAUGGGCGCAAGCCUGAUGCAGCGACGCCGCGUGGGGGAUGACGGCCUUCGGGUUGUAAACUCCUUUCGCCAAGGACGAAGCGUUUUGUGACGGUACUUGGAGAAGAAGCACCGGCUAACUACGUG
This 466-nucleotide ribosomal RNA is filed under the name uncultured bacterium. Its description in RNAcentral is "partial 16S ribosomal RNA". It matches the Rfam family "Bacterial small subunit ribosomal RNA", at positions 28 to 507 of the family's 1533-position model. The record is from RNAcentral.